Non-coding RNA from Paramormyrops kingsleyae, 995 nucleotides. The record is from RefSeq and is a predicted model, not a curated record. Lineage: Eukaryota; Metazoa; Chordata; Actinopteri; Osteoglossiformes; Mormyridae.
GGGUACUCUCCAAUCACGAACAUGAAGUGUGGUCCUACCCUUUUCCUGAUUGCGAUUGGACCCUACCCAUGUCACUCACGACUGUUCAUUUCUUGUUUGUACUUUGUUUUUGUGCGAGUGUUAGCGGAGAUAAAUAGAUUAUGUAUUGUCCGUAUUGUGGGAAGAGGUUUCAGUCACUGCCAAGAUUCUGCGACGAGUAUGGGAAAUCACUGACCUUCUUAAAGGAAAGUGGACAUGAAGAGGACACCACUGGCCCAACUUCAGCUGCGGCAGCAGCUCUGAAUAUGCCAUCCCUCAAAACCUUCCUUGAGUACAGGAAUAAGAAGUCGAAGGAGAGGAAAAAUUUCUCUUGCCAUAAGAAAAGUAUUAAGAAGAAGGAGCAGAAAAAAGUACAGGUAAGCAGCGUAGCGCUAUUAGCUGUAGUUAUUUUACAUUCGUGCAGAUGCCCUUGUUAUAUGCACAUUAUAUACAAUUAAAUAGAACACAAAUAGAUACUGGUUUCUCACUGAGCCCUAACACCUUCCAUACUAUAGCCACCUCAUAAUAUCAGUUAAUAAAAAGUCAAAAGAUAAAUACAAUAAUGAUUCAUCUACACAUUUCCUAAGUACCAACAAAGCAAUAAUGUUUGUUAAAAUAUAAGUAUGGAUAGGAGAAUAGCUUUAUCAUGAUGUCCAUAUGAUUUAAUUGGGGUGAUCCGUCAAAUUGGGACAGAACCAGGUUCAGUCCCCUGCAAACCCACCCCCCAGAACCGCCCCUGUAAGUAUUGUACACUUCAGGUUAUUAGCACUGCACAAUAUUUUAUGUAUGAGUUAUGUACCGAUUGACACCUGAUUUUCUUUGUACAGACAAAUAUUGGAGUCAUGCGCCUUCAAGAUGAUGACGAAGAGUGCACUGGACUGCAGCUAUUGACCCAUUCUCUGUUCCGCAGUCUGUUCGCAGUCUCAUGGGAAUGACGCCAACACUAGCAAUACAGUUAAUAAAGUUGUCUUUUAUUA